Molecule: ribosomal RNA, 253 nt
Filed under: uncultured bacterium
Lineage: Bacteria
Description: partial 16S ribosomal RNA
Rfam family: Bacterial small subunit ribosomal RNA
Source: RNAcentral
UACGUAGGCAGCAAGCGUUGUUCGGAGUUACUGGGCGUAAAGGGUGUGUAGGCGGUUUUGUAAGUCUGGUGUGAAAUCUCCCGGCUCAACUGGGAGGGGGCGCCGAAAACUGGAAGGCUAGAGUGCGGGAUGGGAGAGUGGAAUUCCUGGUGUAGCGGUGAAAUGCGUAGAUAUCAGGAGGAACACCUGUGGUGUAGACGGCUCUCUGGGCCGCAACUGACGCUGAGGCGCGAAAGUCAGGGGAGCAAACGGG